UCCUUCUGAAAUAGUUGAGAUCUAAUGGUGCAGUUUUUUUGGUUUUCGCUGUUAUGCUUUGUCUGGAACUGGUAUCCCCAGUUGUCUUGCUGUACCGUUACUUUUCUUUCUAAAAAGCAGAGGUUUCUUGCCUCUUAUAAAAAAACAUGACUUUUCAGACAAUAGUGGUUUUCCAGGCAACAGUCAUGCUCCUUACUAUUAGUAAUCCCUCAUAAGCAAGCCAACCGUCAUAGACUGUGUGCCUGCCACCAUUGUUUGAACGUUUAGGCGCCUCAG
This 276-nucleotide long non-coding RNA is filed under the name Sorghum bicolor (sorghum). Its description in RNAcentral is "long non-coding RNA (SBIC_LNC016978)". The record is from RNAcentral. Lineage: Eukaryota; Viridiplantae; Streptophyta; Magnoliopsida; Poales; Poaceae.